CCUGGUGGUGGUGGUGUUAUUGUUGCUGCUGGCGAUGGAGCUGGCGAUGGGAGAGGCCGUGAUGGCCUUC
Molecule: microRNA precursor, 70 nt
Filed under: Trichophyton rubrum BMU01672
Lineage: Eukaryota; Fungi; Ascomycota; Eurotiomycetes; Onygenales; Arthrodermataceae
Source: RNAcentral